RNAcentral lists this ribosomal RNA (251 nucleotides) under uncultured bacterium. RNAcentral's name for it is "partial 16S ribosomal RNA". It matches the Rfam family "Bacterial small subunit ribosomal RNA", at positions 102 to 353 of the family's 1533-position model. The record is from RNAcentral.
ACGGGUGAGUAAUGUCUGGGAAACUGCCUGAUGGAGGGGGAUGACUACUGGAAACGGUAGCUAAUACCGCAUAAUGUCGCAAGACCAAAGAGGGGGACCUUCGGGCCUCUUGCCAUCGGAUGUGCCCAGAUGGGAUUAGCUUGUUGGUGGGGUAACGGGCUCACCAAGGCGACGAUCCCUAGCUGGUCUGAGAGGAUGACCAGCCACACUGGAACUGAGACACGGUCCAGACUCCUACGGGAGGCAGCAUG